This 625-nucleotide small RNA is filed under the name Yamadazyma sp. 14Y124. RNAcentral describes it as "eukaryotic LSU rRNA". The stretch from base 236 to 389 matches the Rfam family "5.8S ribosomal RNA". The record is from RNAcentral. Lineage: Eukaryota; Fungi; Ascomycota; Pichiomycetes; Serinales; Debaryomycetaceae.
UUUCCGUAGGUGAACCUGCGGAAGGAUCAUUACAGUUAGUUUUAGUUUACUCGCCUGCGCUUAAUUGCGCGGCGGUAGGCAAACAUCUUACACACUGUGUUUUUGUUUUUUUGAAAACUUGCUUUGGUUUGGCGCAAGCCGGGCCAGAGACUAGCACUUAAACUUCAAUUUUACGAUUGAAUUGUUUUUAAAUUUAUUGUCAAUUUUGUUUGAUUAAAUUCAAAAUAAUCUUCAAAACUUUCAACAACGGAUCUCUUGGUUCUCGCAUCGAUGAAGAACGCAGCGAAAUGCGAUAAGUAAUAUGAAUUGCAGAUUUUCGUGAAUCAUCGAAUCUUUGAACGCACAUUGCGCUCUUUGGUAUUCCAAAGAGCAUGCCUGUUUGAGCGUCAUUUCUCUCUCAAACCUUUGGGUUUGGUAUUGAGUGAUACUCUUAGUUAAACUGGGCGUUUGCUUGAAAUAUAAUGGCAGGAGUGUACUGGAUAGUACUGACUGGUUUUUCAAUGUAUUAGGUUUAUCCAACUCGUUGAAGCGACUAUGGAAGUAAAUUUCUAGUAAUUUGGCUCGGCCUUAUAACAACAAACAUAAGUUUGACCUCAAAUCAGGUAAGAUUACCCGCUGAACUUAA